Molecule: ribosomal RNA, 254 nt
Filed under: uncultured Caryophanaceae bacterium
Lineage: Bacteria; Bacillati; Bacillota; Bacilli; Caryophanales; Caryophanaceae
Description: uncultured Planococcaceae bacterium partial 16S ribosomal RNA
Rfam family: Bacterial small subunit ribosomal RNA
Source: RNAcentral
UACGUAGGUGGCAAGCGUUGUCCGGAUUUAUUGGGCGUAAAGCGCGCGCAGGUGGUUUCUUAAGUCUGAUGUGAAAGCCCCCGGCUCAACCGGGGAGGGUCAUUGGAAACUGGGAGACUUGAGUGCAGAAGAGGAUAGUGGAAUUCCAAGUGUAGCGGUGAAAUGCGUAGAGAUUUGGAGGAACACCAGUGGCGAAGGCGGCUCUCUGGACUGUAACUGACACUGAGGCGCGAAAGCGUGGGGGAGCAAACAGG